GAUAUGUAUCUCAUCUCUAGGUAUUUCUUGAUCUCGUCAGUUUCGUUUGCCGCACCCCUUUCCUUCAGCAAGGCUGUGACAUGGUCGUCAUCUUUAUGGAUAUACUUAAAUAGGUACUUGAUUGAUCUGGACCUAUUGCACCACUCGACAUUUAUAUGAGCUUGAAAUUUGACCAGAAGAUUCUGGUUGUAUGGCACAACAAAUCUGUUGUCGAGCAUUACCCCUCCCGUUUUGAUCUGCCUUCUGUCAUCCCUCCUUUUAUAUACUGGAAAUCUGUCCUCGUCAAUGGUAGUACUGGCAUUGUAUCUUUUUGGGAAAUGCUUGGUGCAUCUAUGGUCCACCAUGCAUGGUGAGUUUUUCUUAGCCUCUCCGCACGGGCCAUGCAUCAUGAAGUUCUCAACAGCUUCAAAUGCCUCCGGAUCCCAUCCUUGUUUGGGAUCUCAACGCUUAUUAUUUUGUCGAUUUGCGAUGGUCCUGGGUACUUUUCUUUGUCCUUCAAAAAUAUUAGUAUGUGGGCAUGAGCGAGUCCUCUCUUCUGGAAUUCUAUUGCGUAGAUGAGUGCAGUUGAUUAAUAGUUUGCCAGAUUUAGCUAAAGUUGGAAUGCAUGUUACUAAAGAGCUAGAAUUUGACGGAGUAUAAGAUGAUGCAUGCUACUAAAGAGCAAGUCUGACGGACUAUAAGAUGAUGCAUGAAAGAGUAAAGAUUGAUAGUCAAUGGGACUUACUUGCAACUGUUUCUCCAAAGUAUUUAUUUUCUUUUAUGUCUCUCAUUAGCUCCUUUAGUUUGAUCAUAAAUACUCUGUCCACAAUAUCUGGCCGAUCGGCUGGUUUUUGGCCACCACCCGCUUCAUCUAGCAUGUAUUGGAUCUCAGGCCACUUUGCAUUGCAUGUGAAUGUUAUAAAUAGGUCUGGGUAUCCAGCCCAACGACAUAUUGCAAAGGCAUCUUGCAGAUAUUGUGCCUUGUUUCUUCUACCACCUGUAAAAGAUGAAGGCACAAUUAUCAUUUUUCCAACUUGCUCUGUUCUUGUGUCCCCUUGCUCAAUCGCAUCAUGCAAUCCACUAUAAAGUUCAGUUUGUAGCUUUCCUUGAUUGUGUCGGAUCCAAUUUAGUGUAUUUUGCUCGAUACAUGUGUAUACAUCCACCCAAAAUUGCAGCGACAGAUGCCCAGACUUAAGCAGUAACAUUCCUUGAUCAGGACGUUGUUGUAGGUAGAAUGCAUAGUAGUCCAACAACAUUACGUAUUUCCUGCUGUUUGUAGCUCCCUUUGUUUUCUUGUAGGGUAUCUCAAGUUUAAAACCAUCUUCUCCGUAUGGAAACAACAACGGAUAUUGCAUGGACAUGAAUUUCGGGUGGAUCUCUGAUAUCCAUUGCGGCUCCAUAUUUUUGUACUCAACAACAAUGUCAUGUCCUUCACUCUCUCUGGUUGGAUCUCUUACUACCAAUGCUGCAACUUCAGAUGCAGGUGGAAGGUUGUGUGUUUCGUUCCUUUUGCCUAGUAUCCGAAGUGUGUAAUCAUGGUAGUCUCCUUCUUGGAAUCUAUCUCUUGCCAUUCUGAAUGUUUUUGCGAGGAUGUUGUUGUCGUCAAGCAUUAUUUUCAGUUUUUUGACAAUGUUGGGGCCCACUGUUGAUUUAUUAGCAUUGCAUCUUGACGCACUUAUCCUGUUUCCACCUCAUUUUCGGUAUUAUAGAUGUAUAGCUGUGCGAACCGAGGUUUGUCUGUACCUUGAGGCAAAAGAGUUCCGAUAUGGUGGUAGUUCUAUCCAUGCAAACGAAAAACAUAAGGUCCUUUGCGAGUAUUUAUUUCCUUGUCCACAACUCCUCCCAUCGAUGUGAAUGAGAACAUUGAGUUGUAUGACCUUAUACUUUCUUUGAAGUUUACCGAAUCCUGCCCUUCACUUCUUAGGAGGUUUCUGGGGUAUGGUGGAGGUUCUCUUAGUGGCGGCAGAUCGAUUUUCCCCUGUUUGCAGCAUAUUCCAAAAGAGGGUGCUGUAGUUCCUUUGUUUGAACUUAAUCUUUCCUCACACCAUAGCAAUGCUUUGCAAUAUUGGCAUUUGUAUAUUGGCCUUCCGAAGUUCCAUGGCUUUCUAUUAGCACUUGUCAAGGUUCUGGUUCUGUUGUUGUCUCCAACAUUGACUCUAAUGUUGUUUCUGUUGGUAUCGCUUCUUGCGCGCUUCAAUUCCUUAUCUUCUUCAGCAUUAGCCUUUCUGAAUCGUUUAGGAUCCUCUGUGUUUGUGUUUGUGUUUCUUCUUCCCUCUCCAGUCCUUGUCCGCUUUGUACUCCUUGAGUUUAGAGGUUGUUCUUUCUUUCUUUUUGUAUGGUGAGCUGCUGGAGGUGACAUAUGUUGGACUCUCAUACCUGCAAAUGUGAUUUCGUCAAUGCGUAUAGAGUUUUCUUAACAUAGUAUCAUGUAAUAUGAUUUAUGUUGUACUUAAUGAUGUUUUGCUGUUGCAGAUAUGCAAGUGCAUUUGGAGAUAUAAGGGACUACUAAUGAAGAUGUCACAUACAGUACAGUUGGAGAUCAAUGUUAUUUAUCUGGUAGGGCGCUAUAAAUAAAAAAUUGUUCAACCAUGUUGCUCUUUUUGUAGCUUUCACAUCACUAUCAUGGUAGUAUCAGGAUGCAUGAAAAAAGUGAUUUAUAGUUUAGUAUCAGAAGAGUUUUGAGAUAGAAUAUUAGAAGCAAGGUUGAGCUGAUAUCAAAAUGCAGGGGAAAACUUGAAGAAUUGCAUGUGGAUAUUACCCAAGGUUGAUGGUGCCGAUGCCGUGUCUUCAGUUUGUUGGGCGUUUCUUUGUGCCUUCGAUCGUUUCGGCAUCGCGGGCGUAUAUUGGAUGCAAGUUGCUGGAGUUGUUACCAUGCCUUCAAUUUGUCGGCCGUCUCGUCCCUUUGAUUGUCCUGAUAUCUUGAAUAAGGAUCUAUUGAGAAAGUGCAUCAUGGGUCAUUUAGAAAUGUUUGUCUUGUAAAAAUAUAGUUGAAAUUAUGUGAUAUAAGCAGAAGGGAUGAGUGUGUGACCAUACCUCUUAUUUGUUUUCUGAGACUGAUCUAGCAAUUUGUAUCUUCACGUAGGGAUUUGUAUUAUUUAAAUUACCUGAGAGCAGAGGUUCUAUGAGAAUAUGUUAGCUUGUAAUAAGGAUGUCAAAAUAAUAUGCUUAUUAAAAAGAGGAAAUACAUAAUACCCUGAAGCCUUUUCCUGUUUAUUA
This 3195-nucleotide long non-coding RNA is filed under the name Triticum aestivum (bread wheat). Its description in RNAcentral is "long non-coding RNA (TAES_LNC022652)". Lineage: Eukaryota; Viridiplantae; Streptophyta; Magnoliopsida; Poales; Poaceae. The record is from RNAcentral.